GGCUCAGAUUGAACGCUGGCGGCAGGCCUAACACAUGCAAGUCGAACGGUAGCACAGAGAGCUUGCUCUCGGGUGACGAGUGGCGGACGGGUGAGUAAUGUCUGGGAAACUGCCCGAUGGAGGGGGAUAACUACUGGAAACGGUAGCUAAUACCGCAUAACGUCGCAAGACCAAAGAGGGGGACCUUCGGGCCUCUUGCCAUCGGAUGUGCCCAGAUGGGAUUAGCUUGUAGGUGAGGUAACGGCUCACCUAGGCGACGAUCCCUAGCUGGUCUGAGAGGAUGACCAGCCACACUGGAACUGAGACACGGUCCAGACUCCUACGGGAGGCAGCAGUGGGGAAUAUUGCACAAUGGGCGCAAGCCUGAUGCAGCCAUGCCGCGUGUAUGAAG
This 391-nucleotide ribosomal RNA is filed under the name uncultured bacterium. RNAcentral describes it as "bacterial SSU rRNA". It matches the Rfam family "Bacterial small subunit ribosomal RNA", at positions 21 to 410 of the family's 1533-position model. The record is from RNAcentral.